RNAcentral lists this long non-coding RNA (376 nucleotides) under Amborella trichopoda. RNAcentral describes it as "long non-coding RNA (ATRI_LNC005031)". Lineage: Eukaryota; Viridiplantae; Streptophyta; Magnoliopsida; Amborellales; Amborellaceae. The record is from RNAcentral.
GGGAAUCGUGAUUAUUGGUUCGUUCAACUAGCAAAAGAAACUGAUUGCUGGUUUUAUUUCUGUUGUAUACCUCUCAGUGCAUAAGGUUCUGUGUACUUCUUUCGUGUUUAAGAAUAGUAUAAUAUAUGAGAAUGACGUUAAUCUUGGCAUUUCUUCAGAUUACUCUGAAUAUGUAGAUGUCUAGACAUUAACAUACUUGUCUACAUGCAUUCCGGUGUGGUUCAUUGGAUCAAAUAUGAAUCUAAUUCUUAGCCCUCCCCCCCUUUUCUUGGGACCAGCUAAGUUUUUGGGUUUGUGUGUGAAGGUUACUGCCUGUUUUUUGUUUUCUUGUUACCACUUGUUCUUAGAGCUUUUACUUUUGUUUGAAACUUUGAAU